GUGCCAGCAGCCGCGGUAAGACGGAGGGUGCAAGCGUUGCUCGGAAUCAUUGGGCUUAAAGGGUGCGUAGGCGGCUUUUUAAGUCUGACGUGAAAGCCCAAGGCUCAGCCUUGGAAGUGCGCCAGAAACUGAAAGGCUAGAGUGCCGGAGGGGAGAGUGGAAUUCCUGGUGUAGCGGUGAAAUGCGUAGAUAUCAGGAGGAAUACCGGUGGCGAAAGCGACUCUCUGGACGGUAACUGACGCUGAGGCACGAAAGCGUGGGGAGCAAACAGGAUUAGAUACCCCUGUAGUCC
Molecule: ribosomal RNA, 292 nt
Filed under: uncultured bacterium
Lineage: Bacteria
Description: partial 16S ribosomal RNA
Rfam family: Bacterial small subunit ribosomal RNA
Source: RNAcentral